Non-coding RNA from Pelobates cultripes (western spadefoot toad), 1187 nucleotides. The record is from the annotation of a GenBank genome assembly. Lineage: Eukaryota; Metazoa; Chordata; Amphibia; Anura; Pelobatidae.
CAUACAUAUCCACAAAUUUAACAAAUCCAUAUUGUGCAUUUACAAUUAUUGCUGCUGUGUUUUAACCAUCUUAAAGCACACUUACGAGCCAUUGAAUUCAAACAGUGCAAACAAAGUAGAACACUCCACCCACCCCUAUCAUUUUGUGUAACCUGAUACAUUCUCGAUGCAUGCGCUGGGUGUUAAGUGUUUGCUUAGGAUUUGGAUUACAAAACCGUUUCAUGGUUAGAAUAAUGUAAUCAAUGUGUUUGGUAGGGUAAAUAUGACAAUUACUGAAUAACAUAGUAAUCCAGAACUAAUGUCUUAGUCGUCUUUUUCUAACACAGAAUCUGUCAUCUGGAUAAAAAUAAACACAAAAUGGCUAUGAAUUGUAAAGGUUAACCUUAUUAUUUCUUAUAUAAGUCAGGUAGUAUGUCAAUGUACUUCAGAUUUAUUUUGCAAAUUAUAGCUUGUUAUGCUGAAAUAUCCAGUCUGGACAAGUAGAUGGCAUUGUUUUACUAAUUAAAGGAAUUUGUGAUUGAUGCUCUUCUGGAUUCCCUGAAAUACUAAAUGUGUAGAUUAAAUUGAUGCAACAUUUAAAAAUAAUCACUUUGUCUAAGUGUACUCUUUGAAUGUGACAUUUAGUAGCCUGAAACUCUAUUUUUAACUUUAUUUUUAGGCAUUUUAAUAAUAUGAAUUAGCAUUUUGAAUAUUUGAAGGUAAUAUGACUUUAUCGCUAACAGAAAAUAAGACUUCUCCAUAAAAGCUCAAAUCUUCAUUAUGUCUAAAAGGGAUACUUUAGUCACCAAAACAACUUUAUCGUAGUUAAGCAGUUUUUCAUUAUGUUAUGAACUCGAUCAGGCAUAGGCAACCUUCGGCACUCCAGAUGUUUUGGACUACACCUCACAUGAUGCUUUGCCAGCAUUAUGGGUGUAAGAGCAUUAUAGGGGACGCAGUCUACAAAAUCUGGAGUGAGGAAGGUUGCCUACCCCUGGACUAGAAUAUUAUUGGAUAAGUCUUUGAACUUCAGUUAUAGAUCAACUAUGAGUUUAAUCACUGACUGGUUGAAAAUUAUGGCACUUGAAUGUGUUUAGUCAUCCCUAAAAUAAAACAACAAAGGACAGGUGAUUAGGUCUAUUCAAUUAGCAGUGAGCUGACAGCAUCAUAAAUUUAGAUCAACAUAACACUGCUUGCUAGAUUAAAAAAAA